CCUACGGGUGGCAGCAGUGAGGAAUAUUGGUCAAUGGCCGUAAGGCUGAACCAGCCAUGCCGCGUGCAGGAAGCAGGCUCUAUGGUUUGUAAACUUCUUUUAUAGGAGAAUAAAGCUAACUACGUGUGGUUAUCUGCAUGUACUCUACGAAUAAGGAUCGGCUAACUCCGUGCCAGCAGCCGCGGUAAUACGGAGGAUGCGAGCGUUAUCCGGAUUUAUUGGGUUUAAAGGGUGCGUAGGUUGAUUUUUAAGUCAGAGGUGAAAGGUUCUGGCUUAACCAGGAAACUGCCGUUGAUACUGGAGAACUAGAGAGUAGAUGAGGUAGGCGGAAUGCAUGGUGUAGCGGUGAAAUGCUUAGAGAUCACACAGAACACCGAUUGCGAAGGCAGCUUACUAAGCCAUAACUGACGCUGAGGCACGAAAGCGUGGGGAUCAAACAGGAUUAGAUACCCGAGUAGUC
Molecule: ribosomal RNA, 460 nt
Filed under: uncultured bacterium
Lineage: Bacteria
Description: partial 16S ribosomal RNA
Rfam family: Bacterial small subunit ribosomal RNA
Source: RNAcentral